This is a long non-coding RNA of Dicentrarchus labrax (European seabass), 456 nucleotides long. RefSeq lists it as uncharacterized. The record is from RefSeq and is a predicted model, not a curated record. NCBI's taxonomy places the organism in Eukaryota, Metazoa, Chordata, Actinopteri, Moronidae. The transcript is spliced from 2 exons.
GCGCUCGCUGUCCAUCCUUGAACUGUUGCGACGCAGGUCCUCGUUCUGGAAGAAUGGAGGGUUGAGGGACGCAAACAGAGCAAGAACGAGCAGGUCAAGGCAAAGGAAAGCUGAGUGGUACUCACCAGUUUCUUCAGAUGGGAGAAAGUGAUGGUGGUGCAGUUGAAGAGCUCAGGCAGCAACCAGCCCUUCUCAUCGCUACAGUGGCGGAUGGCAGUACCUGUAAAAAUACAACAGCAGGGAGGACAUUUCAACUGACAGACAUACAUGUUCACACUACUGAAGGCUAACAAAAGAUAAUGCCAACUACAUUUAAAAAAAACAAUAAAUAUUUUUCUUGAUAGGUAAUAAUGUAUAGUCUAGAAUUAAACAUUAGAAGUGAUGUAGAGGGCUAGUAGUAAAGAUGCAAAUACAACAUAAUUUGUCAAAAAAUAAAUGGUAAAUGGACUGCACUUA